GUUAUUGGGCAUCUCAGGAGAUGUGUGUUAGAACAAUGAUAGAACCAUACCUUGGUAAGGGGCAUAUAUUAUAUACAGAUAACUGGUACACAAGCCCCUCACUCAGUGAUUUUUUGCGAGUGAACAUGACAGAUGUGUGUGGCACAGUGCGUGCAAAUCGGAAACAUAUGCCCAGGUUUGACGCUGGCACUCGUAGAGGUGAGGUGCAGGCGUUUGCUGCCAAUGACAUCAUGGCAUUUCGGUGGCAUGACAAACGAGAUGUCACACUGUUGUCAUCAGUUCACCCUAAUGAAAUGGCAGACAGUGGCAGGCAGCAUAGAGAGAGCAAUGAACCCAUUCUAAAACCUGCAGCUGUGAUUGAUUACACCUUCAAUAUGCGUUCAGUGGACAAAUGUGACAUGCAGAUUGGGUUUGCUGAGUGUGUUCGCAAGAGUUAUAAGUGGUACAUCAAACUGUUUUUCCAUCUUCUGGACAUUUCCAGCUCAAUGCUUAUAAUAUGUAUAAGAUGAGGACCAGAAACAAACCACAGUACGGCGAAUUCUGUUUGUCUGUCAUCAGACAAAUAGUAUUCAAGUACCAAGGAACAGCACCUGCAAUUGACCGCCCACCAAAUUAUCAACAACUACCUGCUCGUCUGAAGCAUGGUGAUCACUUCCUGGUAAAAGUGCCUGCUACUGCUUUCAAGAAAAAGGCUCAGAAGAGGUGUUACGUCUGUUCACAUACAAAAAAACGCCCACAACAAUGCAGAGACACUCAUUUUAUGUGUGAGGAAUGUAAAACACCACUGUGCAUGACACCAUGUUUCAAAGAGUUCCACAGGCUGCAGAACUUCUAGAAACAUUCCCUGUGACUGUAUAUGUGUAUAUAAAAUAUAGAAAAAUAGUAAUAAGCAACAUUUCAUAUUGUUUGUUUGUGUAAAUAUUUUUUGUAAACAAAUUAAUGACAACAGUGUUUAUGCCCUUAUUGUGUAGUAUUGAAAAAGAAAUAACUUACAAAAUACUGAUCAUGUUGGCCUCAGAGGCCAUAAAAGUUACUCAGAAAAAGAAAAAUUGAAAAAUAAUUGAAAAUAGUACAUAAAAAAGUAAAUAGAAAAAUACCGGGUGACAGCAGUCGGCGAUGUUACCAGAUGUUGUUCAAUUUUGGCAAACUUCACGCCUCCAUAUCUCGGUAAGUAUUGACGGUAAAAUUUUUUUGUUUAGCCUAUAAUAUUUAGAAAAAACUAUUUUUUCAUAAGAAAAAAUUUUUUUUUUUUUUUUUUUGAAAUUUGGCCGACCCUGAGAACGAGUUUCGGAGAGGGCUUGUCGACCCUCAAAGGGUUAAACUCAUUGUGUCAAAAAAUUUUCCAAAAAAAAAAAAAAAAAAAAAAAAAAUUCUUAUGAAAUGAUAAAGAAUCUUUUCCCAAUGGUAAUGACACCAAAAGUACGAAAUUUGAUGGAAAACUUAUAAAAUUACACUCUCUCAGCAAUUUUGCCUACUUUGAGCCCUAUUUUAAGCCAAUUCCAUUGUUCCAGCCGACUAAAAUCAUAGCUAUUUUGCUAGAACUCCAUUUGUUCUAUCGAUUGAGUAUAAGAAACCGCCCAGUUACUGAUUUCAACUACCCAAUAAAGUGGUCAGAAAUUGGCAAUUUGGCAAAUUUCACACAAAUUUCAAAAGAUGCCAAUUUCAAAAUAGGGUCCAGAAUAAACAAGGCAGAUAUUCCUGGCACUAAAAUAACAUUUUCUCUGUUCAUUAGUCACAUCUCCAGGCCCCUCUUACAUUACUCUUGCUUUCCAUUUUGAAUUUUUAUUCUCACAAAAAAUAGAAUAUUUACUGUUAUGCUGACUACUGCAUUAUUAUAAUUGUAUAAAUAAUGUCAACCCAUUCAUGACUGUGUAUUAGACUGGCCAGUUGGACACAUAUUGGACAGUGACGUCAUUUGUUUACUCUUGAACAUCAGCAAAACUCAAACAUUUUCGCUACUCUGAGCUCAAUUUCAAGGCACUUUUCAUCGUGAAACCAAUCAAAAUCAUCUCUAUUUCUGUAAUAUAUCUUUCAUUCUAUCAAAUGAGACCAAGAAAACGAGAAUACAACCAUAAUACCAUACGAAAAUAGACCUCAAAUUCGAGUUUUGUUUUUUUCCUCGUGCACUGCGUGCUGCAGGAUUUGUUUUAUACUGCACACACUGACCACGCAGACCCAUUGUUUCAUAUAUAGGCCUGCCAACUUUCUUCCACUAGAUUUGAAGGAGCUAGAAUUUUGGCAUAGCAUUAUGCGACCGACACUGGUUCUCAAGCCGUAAUAUUACAGGACUGACACUGAAAGGGUUAAGUGAGGAGAGGCUGUAUUUGAGAAUAGGUCACUGUGAAUAAAAUCCAUUUAAUUUUGUUAGUCAGGAUUACCACUGUUGGCUUUGACCUAUAAAAUAAUGCAGCAAUAGAAGGGUGACCACAUGGGCAUGGCCUUCCCCUUGCCAAGGCAUGGGUUUUCUAUUUCACUCAGAAUAUACUUAUACCCUGCUUUUCAGCUUGGAGUGCAGAACUUAUAUCCUGUUAAUUUUUGACUAGACUGAUAUGCAACCUAUUGACAAAAGGGGUAAAAUAAGUUCUAAGCAAGAUGUGCCUUAAUUGGGCAAUAUGUGAGCAAAACAUUGUCUAGAAGACUUAUUAAAGCUCACAAUUAAGUGAAAUGUUGUCCAGUAAAGGCUCAUCAAGUUAAGUACGUUUUUAUUUUGUCCUAAUUUUGGGAAGUUUAAACUUGAAAUUGUAAAGUUAUUUGAAACCAGUCAUCUUCGCCAUUCCAAAAACACCAUCAACAUAAUUCAUUAUCAAACUAUGAACAUACAUAAAAUGUAAUCAGAAAAUCAAGGACAAAUGAUUGUUGAAACAUUGCAAUAACUAAUUUCCUUCAUAAAAAUACCAACAGGUUCACAACAUGGAUUAUUAGUGCAAAUUCUAUGCAGUGUUUAAUUCAGUUAGAUAUGCAGUAGCAUUAAAACUUUCUUGGGGAUUUUCCUGAUUAAUAGAAUCUCAGAAGAAGCAAGAAAUGCCCUGAUAGUUUAGAAAAACAUUUAGAAAAGUACUGUAGCUAGUAAUAGUAGGAUAGUUAUUGAUCAGAUACAGUGAACCCCCUCAUUAAUAGACAAAUAGGGGGAAGUGAGUGUACGAUAUUACCAAAACUUUCGAAUUAUUAAGAUAAUUUCAUAAUCAUCCUGUUGUCUUCUGAACGAGCGGACUUCGUCUGGUGAUGCAAAAGACAACCAGAUACUAGGAAUACGGGUAUUGUAACCUGUAGUACUAUAGUACAGGACUGUACUGUAUAGUAAUUUUAUAGUACUCUAUGUAAUUUUCAGUAAUUUUACUUUCCUUUUCAUGUUGGAGAGAUGAGGCACAAACUGCCGUGAUCGAUAGUGGUGACUCAGAGUAACUUCUAUUCUGAGUCAGAGGACUCGGAGGACAUAGUCUAUCUCUCACUGCAUUGCUGUUACAGUUGCAACACCGAUUUUUCUGGUAUUCUUGGUUCCUAGGCCUUGCUGGAAUAUCAAUUUUGGUGGGCCAAUAGAGGUCACAUAAUAAUAUUUCAACAGCACACCUGACCUACCAUGGUCUGCUGGAAAUUUGAAUUAAACAUUAGUACAUAUAAAUGAAUUAGGUUUAUUAACCCUUUGACUGUUUACGCCGUAUAAAUACGUCUUACGCGCCACUGUUUCUGACGUAUAUAUACUCAUAAAUUCUAGCGGCUUCAAAUCAAGCAGGAGAAAGCUGGUAGGCCCACAUGUGAGAGAAUGGGUCUGUGUGGUCAGUGUGCACCACAUAAAAAAAAUCCUGCAGCACACAGUGCGUAAUGAGAAAAAAAAAAAAAUGACUGUUUUUUUGGAUUACAACGCCGACUUUGAGGUGUAUUUUCGUAUAGUAUUUAUCAUUGUAUUCUCGUGUUCAUGAUUUUAGGUGUUAAAAUGGAAAACAUAUUACAGAAAUAGAGAUGAUUUUCAUUACUUUCACGAUGAAAACGACCUUGAAACUGAGCUCAAAGUAACGGAAAUGUUCGAUUUUUACCAAUGUUCAGGAGUAAGCAAAUCACACCACACGUCCAAUGCACGUCAACUGGGGAGUCUAAUAUUCUUUCACUAGUGCACUGAUAUUAUUUAUACCAUUUAUAAAAUAAUGCAGUAGUCUGCAUACCAGUAAAUUUUGUAUUUUUUUGUAUGAAUAAAAAAUCAAAAUAGAAAGCAAUAGUAAUAUAAGAGGGGCCUAGAGAUGUGACUAAUGAACAGAAGAUAUGUUAUUUUAGUGCCAAGAAUGUCUACCUUGCUUAUUCUGGACCCUAUUUUGAAAUUGGCAUCUUUUUUGAUUUGUGUGAAAUUGGCCAAAUUGCCAAUUUCUGACAACUUUAUUGGGUAGUUUAAAUCGGUAAAUGGGCGGUUUCUUGUACUCAACUGAUAGAUAAAAUGGAGUUCUAAAGAAAUAGCUAUGAGUUUGGUCAACCGGAACAAUGGAAUUGGCUAAAAACAGGGCUCAAAGUCGGCAAAAUCGCCGAUACGUAUAUGUUGCCGAGACUGCUAACUUCGCGGGAGCAUAAUUCCGUGAGUUUUCGACCAAAUUUCAAACUUUUGGUGUCAUUACCAUCGGGAAAAGAUUCUCUAUCAUUUCACAAGAAAAAAUAAUUUUUUUUUUUCUCAAAAAAUUUUGCAACAUAGAAUGACAGUUUCAGAAAGGGGCCUGCGACAGUCAAAGGGUUAAUUACCAUAAAGUGAAUGUUGCAGUAAUACUACUCCCAGAGUGGUAAGUUUUAGAAUUUUACUGGAACUGUAUAGGUAAUCAAAAAGGUCUAGAAGUUCAGGGUUGUCAGGACUACUGUCUGUUUCAUAAUUGACUGGUUCAUCAUAGAUUUGUGAUGUUAUCUGGGGUGCUUGAAGUUGAAGCCACAGGAUUUUCAGAUGAAGACCAACUGUUGUGACACAUUCUUCUUGGCUAACUUUUUAAAUAUUUCAUCCAAGCAAAGUUGUUUCAUGUAUUUUCAUCUUUUCCUGUGAAAUUUUUCAUUCAUCUAAUAAAAAUUUCAUUAGCUCUUGUUAAAAAGAACAUUGUUCUAGUCUGUUGAUUAACCUCACAGCUCAAUUAACUUGUCAAUGCAGCCUCUCCUCACUUAAUGAUGGAGUUCCAUUCCUAAGACCACGUCGUUAAACGAAUUUGUCGCUAAGUGAGGAGUAUACUAUAAUGGUAAUGAGUUUGUGUCAACCAUCUUUGAUAUUGUUUUAAUGUCAGCUUUGCAUCAUUUAUAACAUUUCUGGUAUAUUUUUAAAUGUUUAUACAGUAGUGUACUGUACGUAUAUUGAAAUUAACAAAAUAGAGGAAAUCAGCUCUAAUAUAUGUACAUUAUUUAGGUAUGAAUAAUGGUCAGAGAGCCCGUCGUAAGUCCGAGGUGUUAGUAAACGAGUACAUCGCUAAAUGAGGAGAGGCUGUAUUUGUAUAGCUAUUAAACCUAACCAUAGCUAGGGCUUAUUGUUACCUUAUAAUUGUACUAAGUCAAGGGAUGACCACCAACAAUGACACUGUAAACAAUACAAGUGAGUGGCAAUUUUUGGCCACCCAGUAAAAUACAUGUAGUCUGGCAAAAAAACUAGUCUCAUAAUUAUGUCCAGACUAAAAGAGGUGCCUGACUAUCUGUUGCCAGAAAAUUGGUGUUGUCCCUGUAUACUACAAAAUAAAACUGUAAUUUAGUGCCUAAUCUAACUGCUAUAACUGUAAAGUAAAAAAUAAUGUAAUUGUAAAUUCAAAAUAAAUUUUUUGUGGUACGAUACCAUGAAAUACCAAAUUAACAUUGAAAUUUUUUACGUAAAAAAGUCUUUAACUUAUGUAAUUGUAAAAUUUUAAUCCCUUGAGUAGAUAUAAUCUAUCAUUCCACAAAUAAUAAAAAUUAACCUUGAAAUUUAAAAAAAAAAACUCAGUUUCUAUGGACACAAACCUAAAUCAUCUCUCCAUUUAAACUGUACCUGACUGAUAUGCACA
This is a non-coding RNA of Cherax quadricarinatus, 5984 nucleotides long. The record is from RefSeq and is a predicted model, not a curated record. NCBI's taxonomy places the organism in Eukaryota, Metazoa, Arthropoda, Malacostraca, Decapoda, Parastacidae.